Long non-coding RNA from Capsicum annuum, 590 nucleotides. RefSeq lists it as uncharacterized. NCBI's taxonomy places the organism in Eukaryota, Viridiplantae, Streptophyta, Magnoliopsida, Solanales, Solanaceae. The transcript has 2 exons. The record is from RefSeq and is a predicted model, not a curated record.
UUUGAAUGGGUGUUUUGUUCCAAAUUGUUAUAUUUGUUUUCAAAUGACACAUAUCCUCCUAACAGGUAUGUUUGCACCUGUUAGUGACUAUAAAUAUUCAGAGGUUGAACAUCAUUUCAACUACUGAAAAUCAGAAAUAAUAAUUACAAAAUAAAAAGCAGAUUGAUUUUCUUUCAUCUGCUGCACAAUUUUUUCUUCAAAGAAGUAACAGAAGAACAGGAUGAAAUGAAAGAAAUCCAAGGUUCAGUGGAGGAGCUCGAUCGAGCAGAGCAUUCACAUGGUCAAAGCUCUUGCUGCGCUCGAGAAAAACCCAUCUCUUACACCGCCAAUAAAGGCCAAGGUUUCGCAAAAGCAAUCUGAGGAAAAUCGCAUGGGGAAUGAACAUUUUGCUUCCUAUAUUCUGUUGGGGGAAUGGCUGGAAGACUCUUGUAUUUGUUUUGAUUGUCAUCUGGCUCCUCUAUUUUACGAAGUUUCGUUCGAACACCUCAACUCGAUUAAUAUACAAAAUUAGUUCAUGCUUAUUUUUACGGUAUGUGUAAGAUUUUGAUGACAUUAAAUGCAAAGCUUUCCCUAGCUUUCCGAAUUUGCAA